RNAcentral lists this ribosomal RNA (598 nucleotides) under uncultured Comamonadaceae bacterium. RNAcentral describes it as "bacterial SSU rRNA". It matches the Rfam family "Bacterial small subunit ribosomal RNA", at positions 917 to 1519 of the family's 1533-position model. Lineage: Bacteria; Pseudomonadati; Pseudomonadota; Betaproteobacteria; Burkholderiales; Comamonadaceae. The record is from RNAcentral.
GGACCCGCACAAGCGGUGGAUGAUGUGGUUUAAUUCGAUGCAACGCGAAAAACCUUACCCACCUUUGACAUGUACGGAAGUUGCCAGAGAUGGCUUCGUGCUCGAAAGAGAGCCGUAACACAGGUGCUGCAUGGCUGUCGUCAGCUCGUGUCGUGAGAUGUUGGGUUAAGUCCCGCAACGAGCGCAACCCUUGUCAUUAGUUGCUACGAAAGGGCACUCUAAUGAGACUGCCGGUGACAAACCGGAGGAAGGUGGGGAUGACGUCAAGUCCUCAUGGCCCUUAUAGGUGGGGCUACACACGUCAUACAAUGGCUGGUACAAAGGGUAGCCAACCCGCGAGGGGGAGCCAAUCCCAUAAAGCCAGUCGUAGUCCGGAUCGCAGUCUGCAACUCGACUGCGUGAAGUCGGAAUCGCUAGUAAUCGUGGAUCAGCAUGUCACGGUGAAUACGUUCCCGGGUCUUGUACACACCGCCCGUCACACCAUGGGAGCGGGUUCUGCCAGAAGUAGUUAGCCUAACCGCAAGGAGGGCGAUUACCACGGCAGGGUUCGUGACUGGGGUGAAGUCGUAACAAGGUAGCCGUAUCGGAAGGUGCGGCU